AUGCGUGCCAAGAUCUUGGGCAGUGCUAGGGACCGGCAAGUCGCGAGUUCUUACCUCGAAGGCGUCAUUCUGGCAAACCUAGAUAAGGAUAACUUCCUCGUGCCUUACUUUCCCGAAGGCGCACAUUGCACACUCAUCCUCUUAAGCCUAAAAUAUUCCAUGGCCACGUAUUUCGACUCGGAUCGUCAAUUGAAGAAAGACUACACAAAUAUCAAGAAAGUUCUUGAUGAAGCUCUCCCCGGCUACGCCAGAUCUGGAGGCACCUUCAGCAGGCCAAUUCGUAGGUACAGCAAGCACGUGUUCACCCACAAAUACGACAUUCCCCUGCAUCAAGCAGCCGCCUGGCGGUCAGAAGGAUGCCUACUACGCCCUCCAUCACAUGCGGGCGAUCGUACGGGACCAUAA
This 405-nucleotide ribosomal RNA is filed under the name Triticum aestivum (bread wheat). RNAcentral describes it as "partial small subunit ribosomal RNA". Lineage: Eukaryota; Viridiplantae; Streptophyta; Magnoliopsida; Poales; Poaceae. The record is from RNAcentral.